UCCUGUUUCCCUUGCACCACCAACAUUCCACUAUGUGUCAUCAUUACUACACAGCCAUCCUCUCCAAAUUACGCCACCACAGGCAACAUCACAACUAAUGUGGUGGACAUAGUGCCGUAGUGGAAUGGUAAAGGCAGCAGUAACGGUAUUAAAAAUUGCAAAUAUAAUGUUGCUUGGGUUCUGGAUUAAGACAAUUCUAAUGAUUCUCUCUUUAUGUUCACCGUCUUACUUCCUAAAUCUUGACAUGUAAGUUAAC
Molecule: long non-coding RNA, 256 nt
Filed under: Olea europaea (common olive)
Lineage: Eukaryota; Viridiplantae; Streptophyta; Magnoliopsida; Lamiales; Oleaceae
Description: long non-coding RNA (OEUR_LNC014589)
Source: RNAcentral